CCUACGGGAGUCAGCAGUGAGGAAUAUUGGUCAAUGGACGCAAGUCUGAACCAGCCAUGCCGCGUGCAGGAAGACGGCUCUAUGAGUUGUAAACUGCUUUUGUACGAGGGUAAACGCAGAUACGCGUAUCUGUCUGAAAGUAUCGUACGAAUAAGGAUCGGCUAACUCCGUGCCAGCAGCCGCGGGAAUACGGAGGAUUAAAGCGUUAUCCGGAUUUAUUGGGUUUAAAGGGUGCGUAGGCGGGCGGAUAAGUUAGAGGUGAAAUCCCGAGGCUCAACUUCGGAAUUGCCUCUGAUACUGUUCGGCGAGAGAGUAGUUGCGGUAGGCGGAAGGUAUGGUGUAGCGGUGAAAUGCUUAGAGAUCAUACAGAACACCGAUUGCGAAGGCAGCUUACCAAGCUACUUCUGACGUUGAGGCACGAAAGCGUGGGGAGCAAACAGGAUUAGAUACCCCUGUAGUC
Molecule: ribosomal RNA, 460 nt
Filed under: uncultured bacterium
Lineage: Bacteria
Description: partial 16S ribosomal RNA
Rfam family: Bacterial small subunit ribosomal RNA
Source: RNAcentral